Dromaius novaehollandiae (emu) is the source of this 719-nucleotide long non-coding RNA. RefSeq lists it as uncharacterized. Lineage: Eukaryota; Metazoa; Chordata; Aves; Casuariiformes; Dromaiidae. The record is from RefSeq and is a predicted model, not a curated record. The transcript is spliced from 4 exons.
UGAGAAAGAAAAGCUUGCAGGGGCCUUUAUUGAAUUAACUCUGUAGUGUAACAUGAAGCACCAUAUGAAAAAAAAGUAUUGGUAGAUAAGGAAAUACGCCACCAAGUAGUGAUUAUCCUCCCUUCUGCUCACAUACUGGACCUGCUUGCUGAACUCUGCCAGCAUAUCCAUUUGCUAAUGAGGAAAAGAAGUAAAAACUAGAUAUUUCUUCCCCUCCUUUUUUUCCCUGUGAGAUUUAAUAAGAAAGAAGAAGCAGCUUGGAAUUUAAGCAAAGAUAUCGAAUGUUUCAUCGUACAUGGAACUGGACUCUGAUCAAAGACCUUGGCUUUCUGGGCUGUUUGGAUGAAAACUGCAAGCAGGGCUAUCCAUGCACUGUAUGAAGUGCUACAGGAGAUUUAAUUUCAUUCUUAGUUAAGAAGAGUACUUUCCUUGAUAGUAAACAAAACACUGUACAUGUUCUAAACAUGAAAGCAGCCUUUUUUCAAAACCAUACCCCAAAACCUUGCAUCCAUUGGUUUCUCUCAGCUGAAAUCAUAUUAGAUACAAUAAAUAAGACUUGGCUGUAAAAUAUAACAAUGUUUUAUUCUUAAAUGAAAUAAAAAUUGGUAAGGAUUGCUUUUGAUAAAAGCAAAAUAUUUACAUAUUGUAAAAUAAAAUAUACUUCUUUGUAUGUGGUCAUAUAACAGCAUAUAUUUAAAAAAUGCACUUCUUGAGAACAA